CAGCGAAGGUCCCAGCAGAGAGGGUAAAGACUCUAGAACGAGACCUCUCUAACAGUUGAAACACAUUCCUUCGCAAAGUGAUUUGCCGAAUCGUAGGAUGCUCCAAUUGAUUUUUUGGUUUUGGUGCGUCUUGAACCCUCGGCUACAUUUCU
Small nucleolar RNA from Camellia sinensis, 152 nucleotides. RefSeq annotates it as small nucleolar RNA snoR145. NCBI's taxonomy places the organism in Eukaryota, Viridiplantae, Streptophyta, Magnoliopsida, Ericales, Theaceae. The record is from RefSeq and is a predicted model, not a curated record.